Chinchilla lanigera (long-tailed chinchilla) is the source of this 622-nucleotide long non-coding RNA. RefSeq lists it as uncharacterized. Lineage: Eukaryota; Metazoa; Chordata; Mammalia; Rodentia; Chinchillidae. The transcript has 5 exons. The record is from RefSeq and is a predicted model, not a curated record.
GCUGAUUUGCUCCAAUGAGGACAUCACUUCCUGCUUCGUUACUCGUCAUACCUAAAGCUGCAGACAGGAAAUGCUUCCAGCUGGCUUCCCUGGCGUUGCCCCCUGCUUCAGGUCGACCAGAAUUCCAAGUCCUAGCAUCCCGGCUGGUGUACUUCCCAAGGAACCCCAGCCUGCAGAAGUCUGCUUGCCCCUCAGUUCCUCUACAGAUAACGAAGCAGCCAUGUGGGGCCUUGUGAGCAAGGUGUUGGGCACUGGGGGGAGGAUACCGGGAAUCAAACUCACCAUCUUGUGCUUGCCAGGCAGGCGCUGUGCUGCUGCGCUAUGUCCCCAGCCCUGAGCCCUUAUUUCUUAGUGCUAUUUCCCUAACUAAGAUGUUCACAGGACCAACUUCAGGGUGCAAAUAUUGAAGACCCAGAAGACACUGGACAGAAACUCAAGUUGCAUGUCUUUGUAACUUUGCAGAAUUUCGGUGGACCUCAGGGCUAUGACCCCCAGCACUGAUGUAUAGAUGUCAAGUUUUUGGGUCUUUAACUGUGUUAAUCAGGGAAGAAGAGGUGUCCCUGUAGGAGAUAGCUCCAUUUAAAGCACACAACAGUGAGAUCCGCAAAGGUCUAAAGUGUGG